UCACAAGUGGUCUUGGAUGAUGGGCCAGGG
RNAcentral lists this non-coding RNA (30 nucleotides) under Homo sapiens (human). The record is from RNAcentral. Lineage: Eukaryota; Metazoa; Chordata; Mammalia; Primates; Hominidae.